AAAAAACACAACAACACACGCAUGGGCUCGCCUCCUCUCCCUCUCGCCCAUUAAGUCGCCGCCGCCGCCGCCCACACCGGCCGCUUUCGGCGACCUCCAGCGUCGUGCAGCAUGCCCCCGAGCUCCCCACGGUCCGCGCCUCCCUUCCCUCCGGCUAGAUUCUCCGCUCCCGGACUCUACCGCACGCUCGCAACCCCACCCCGUGGCUAGGGUUUCGGGCAGGGCUUCGCCGGCGCGUCUCCGGCGACCCCAGAUGGAGCACGCCGUGAGAUUUCCCCAUCCACCACGGUCGCCGCCGUCAAGGGCUUCUUCACGGAUCUGGGACGCCAUGGACAUGCAGCUCCUCAAGGACUUUCUAUUGAAACAUCUUGUCCAUCAUGUGUAGAACACGAUGCACCGUUAAGUCAAGGUUCAGGACGACGUAUAUCGUAGCCCCAUGCUGGCUUUUUUCCAAUGCAGGACCUUCUACAUCUCUGCAUAUCGAUCCAUUUUGGACCUCAGUAGAAAAUUCAUCAUUUUAGUGUCCAUCUGAAGAAUCACAUCGUGAUAGGAACAAGGACAAUGGCUGGCAUGUUGGUAGGAAUCUGAGAUGAUAAAAAAUAGUACUCAUCCAACUGCUAACUGAAUAUGCUGGAAAUUAGCUCAUAGUUACACAUAUAUUAUUACUGGGGCAGUACUGCCCUAGACUUGCAUAUUCAGAAUUAAUUGAUCUCACACAGUAGUGCCAUUUGUCGACACACCGUAUGAUAUAUGAAUAAAACCAUAAAAGUGUAUAUGAAACUGUAUAAUCUGGCACUUCGUUUCAUGCCUACAUCAAUGCAAUGUCCUUUUUAUGUUAUCAUGGCAUACAUAGAUAAUUAAAUGAGGAUUCUUUGAUAAUGUCUCCAUCUCUUGAGCUAAGCACAUGCUGUCAACAUCAUGGAACGACAUGGAGCUGCAGACAUGCACUUUGGCGCAGAGGUUGACUUGCAGCUGCGUCUGCAAUCUCCCAAACAAAUGAGCAGCACCAUGCAGUUGUGGGCUUGCAGCAGGUUGGCGGGCGAAUGGUCAUAGCAGGAAUACAACGGGCAUGUCGACUGCUGCGAGUAUUCCAUUCAAGUCGACAACUAUAUUUGCAAGAGUUUUACACCACCGUAUGAUCGAUGAAUUCGAGGUCUGAGGCCCGUCCAGGGGCUAGAGCAGAUUCAUCGGACGGUGGAGUUGAGUGACCCACUCAUUGAUACCAGGUGUGCUCAAGUGAAGCCAGGGAUUUGAUCCAUCCAUCUCGGAGCGCAUGAAUCAACAGAGGAUCCAUCCAGUCAAACAAGUGAAUUUAGGCUUGAUUAAUUAGCAGGAGCAUACGAGUGUCUUUUGCACAUGUAGUUUAGGUUUGUACAGGUUCAGGUAGUCAACUGUUAAGCAUGGUAGGAUCCGCAAGCUGGGCAGUAGGCAGCGUCACGGUACGAUCCAGCAGGACGGCGGAGGAGGCGGCCCGUGGUGACUGGGGAGGAUACAAAGGGGGAUGGAGAGGUUGCGGGAAAUUUAUGGGUCUGGACUGGAGCAGAGGGAGAUAGAGAAUGGGUGAGAAAGAUGGAGAUGUUGAUAGGUAAUACCUGUUGGAAAGAGAUGUUGAUAGUUUACUUUUCUUCAUCUCCAACGCAACUAUCAACUGAUGCGCUGACUGUAUCAUCACAGUUCUCAU
This 1681-nucleotide ribosomal RNA is filed under the name Triticum aestivum (bread wheat). Its description in RNAcentral is "partial small subunit ribosomal RNA". Lineage: Eukaryota; Viridiplantae; Streptophyta; Magnoliopsida; Poales; Poaceae. The record is from RNAcentral.